RNAcentral lists this long non-coding RNA (226 nucleotides) under Ananas comosus (pineapple). RNAcentral's name for it is "long non-coding RNA (ACOM_LNC008870)". Lineage: Eukaryota; Viridiplantae; Streptophyta; Magnoliopsida; Poales; Bromeliaceae. The record is from RNAcentral.
CGAGCGUUGUGUGGCUUCGUAGGGAGGACGAGCGAGCGUGUGUUUCCGCCGUUUCGACGUCGCGCCAAUGUUGGUUUAGCGUAUCGUGGUGGGUUAAUCGUUAGUUUGGCUUCUAAGUAUAUAGAGAUAGUCCGCAUGUGUCGUUGUAGUUGUUUUUGCAUAUUUUAAUUGCUCGAUUCGCGGAUUUGGUGUUUCUUUUAUGAAAAAUCUGAAUUGGAGCUUAGUG